RNAcentral lists this ribosomal RNA (292 nucleotides) under Tarentola fascicularis (Wolfgang's wall gecko). Its description in RNAcentral is "partial 12S ribosomal RNA". It matches the Rfam family "Bacterial small subunit ribosomal RNA", at positions 892 to 1349 of the family's 1533-position model. Lineage: Eukaryota; Metazoa; Chordata; Lepidosauria; Squamata; Phyllodactylidae. The record is from RNAcentral.
ACUCAAAACUCAAAGGACUUGACGGUGUCCCAAACCAACCUAGAGGAGCCUGUCCUAUAAUCGAUAAUCCACGUUACACCUCACCCCCUCUUGAAACCAGCCUGUAUACCGCCGUCUUUCAGUUCGCCUUAUGACAGACCCAAAGCGAACACAACAGCCCACCACUAAAACGUCAGGUCAAGGUGCAGCCAAUGAGGGGGCAGCGAUGGGCUACAUUUUCUAACACAACAGAACACCACCAGCCACCACAUGAAAUAUGGGUUACAAGGCGGAUUUAGCAGUAAGCCAAACA